RNAcentral lists this ribosomal RNA (401 nucleotides) under Listeria fleischmannii subsp. fleischmannii LU2006-1. RNAcentral describes it as "bacterial SSU rRNA". It matches the Rfam family "Bacterial small subunit ribosomal RNA", at positions 1142 to 1533 of the family's 1533-position model. Lineage: Bacteria; Bacillati; Bacillota; Bacilli; Caryophanales; Listeriaceae. The record is from RNAcentral.
AAAGUGACAUGCCAGGUGCAAGCCGGAGGAAGGUGGGRRUGGACGUCAAAUCAUCAUGCCCUAUCGACCUGGGCUACACACGUGCUACAAUGGAUGGUACAAGGCAGGCGAAGCCGUGAGGUGAAGCCAAUCCCAUAAAACCAUUCUCAGUUCGGAUUGUAGGCUGCAACUCGCCUACAUGAAGCCGGAAUCGCUAGUAAUCGCGGAUCAGCAUGCCGCGGUGAAUACGUUCCCGGGCCUUGUACACACCGCCCGUCACACCACGAGAGUUUGUAACACCCGAAGUCGGUAGGGUAACGCUUAGGCGAGCCAGCCGCCGAAGGUGGGACAGAUAAUUGGGGUGAAGUCGUAACAAGGUAGCCGUAUCGGAAGGUGCGGCUGGAUCACCUCCUUUCUAAGGA